Molecule: ribosomal RNA, 465 nt
Filed under: uncultured Klebsiella sp.
Lineage: Bacteria; Pseudomonadati; Pseudomonadota; Gammaproteobacteria; Enterobacterales; Enterobacteriaceae
Description: bacterial SSU rRNA
Rfam family: Bacterial small subunit ribosomal RNA
Source: RNAcentral
CCUACGGGUGGCAGCAGUGGGGAAUAUUGCACAAUGGGCGCAAGCCUGAUGCAGCCAUGCCGCGUGUGUGAAGAAGGCCUUCGGGUUGUAAAGCACUUUCAGCGGGGAGGAAGGCGUUAAGGUUAAUAACCUUGUCGAUUGACGUUACCCGCAGAAGAAGCACCGGCUAACUCCGUGCCAGCAGCCGCGGUAAUACGGAGGGUGCAAGCGUCAAUCGGAAUUACUGGGCGUAAAGCGCACGCAGGCGGUCUGUCAAGUCGGAUGUGAAAUCCCCGGGCUCAACCUGGGAACUGCAUUCGAAACUAGCAGGCUAGAGUCUUGUAGAGGGGGGUAGAAUUCCAGGUGUAGCGGUGAAAUGCGUAGAGAUCUGGAGGAAUACCGGUGGCGAAGGCGGCCCCCUGGACAAAGACUGACGCUCAGGUGCGAAAGCGUGGGGAGCAAACAGGAUUAGAUACCCUGGUAGUC